UGAGUGGGCCUGUGUUAAAGAAGGUUGUGCUUGGAAGGGAAGAGAGCGCUUAGGAGUCGUGUGUUAUCGCUUCUCGGCCUUUUGGCUAAGAUCAAGUGUAGUAUCUGUUCUUAUCAGUUUAAUAUCUGAUACGUCCUCUAUCCGAGGACAAUAUAUUAAAUGGAUUUUUGGAACAGGGAAGAUGGGGAGAGAUAAAAACUUCCCUGGAUGAAAUUAAAGAGGACAAAUGGGGAGAGAUAAGAACCUUCCUGCAAAACAUUGAUAGGGAGUUAAAAACAUCCCACAAUAGGAGUGAUUUAACUCUCCAUCCCCCAUCAUUAUCAGACUCCCUGACCAACCCUGCCCAAAACUAUUUGGCUCAAAUAGAAGCCCCUUCACACCAACCAGCUCCUCCCCAUCCUGACCACCCAGCCCCUCCACCUGCCAUUCUUGCCCCUCCCACCCUGGUUCCUCCUUCCAUUCAUGCCUCUUACCCUGCCUCCUCAGCCCCGGCCCCUCCCCCUGCUCUUCCCCCCACCCAUGCUCAUGCUCCAGCCCCACCCCCUGUUCCUGUCCCAGCCCCUCUCCCUGCCCUUCCCCCCACCCAUGCUCAUGCUCUAGCCCCACCCCCUGUUCCUGUCCCAGCCCUUCCCCCUGCUCUUCCCUCCACUCAUGCUCUAAUCUCCAACCCCCAUGCUCCAACAGCCAAUAAUCCUAACAUUGAAAAUGGAGCAAGUAGCCUAGAAACAGUAACACCAGAUAGUUUAGACAGAAGUUUAUUUCCAUUGAGGGAAGUACCCACCUUUAAUAAAGAAGGGAACUUGGUGCCUGUAAGACACUAUACACCUUUUAAACCUGAUGAUUUAGAAAAAUUCAAGCACAAUGUUC
RNAcentral lists this long non-coding RNA (867 nucleotides) under Monodelphis domestica (gray short-tailed opossum). Its description in RNAcentral is "lncRNA (ENSMODG00000046125.1)". The stretch from base 66 to 203 matches the Rfam family "U2 spliceosomal RNA". The record is from RNAcentral. Lineage: Eukaryota; Metazoa; Chordata; Mammalia; Didelphimorphia; Didelphidae.